RNAcentral lists this long non-coding RNA (1023 nucleotides) under Dromaius novaehollandiae (emu). RNAcentral describes it as "lncRNA (ENSDNVG00000012704.1)". Lineage: Eukaryota; Metazoa; Chordata; Aves; Casuariiformes; Dromaiidae. The record is from RNAcentral.
GUAAAUUAUGGGAAUGAAAGCAACUGUGCUUUUGAGGACAGCAUUGUGCUAUGCUAGUUCAGUGAAGUGUUGCUAAAAGUGUCCCCUGCCUGUCACACUCUGACGCACAUCCAGCAGUUUGUCAAAUCCAGCUCUAGUAGGAUGAAUCUCUUAGGAACGCAUUCUUCAUCCCAUCUCUCUGCAGAAUUCACAGGUUUCUUCAGGAGACAGCUGCACUUCCACAUUCAGAGCACUCCUUCCCUCUUUUGUGGCUUCCUGGCAUAAGUGGCCACAGCAAACCACCGUUGGAGAUCCAGGAGUAAUUCUUCACCACAGGCCUAACGGAAAAAGAACUGAGCUUAGUGAUGUCUCACUGCACAGACACAGCAUUUAUCAUGAUGGAAAAGUGUAUACCAUGGAUACAAUCAGAUUUGCUCUGGCCUGUUUCCCAUUCUACAUGCACAGCACUUUGAUCCAUGUUAUAAUGCAGCCUGGAUGGUACUGCUUGGGCAAGAUUUCUUAUACACUUCAACAUUAGAAAAAAGGACAAGCUUCUUAAGAUCUUGGAGCUAUGAGCAACAGCUGGUUUUGUUCUUGUUUCUGCAGCAUUUUCCACAAUUUCCACCAAGAUGGUGAUUUAUAGAAAGACCCGUGUAUUUGUUGAACUCUGGGUUAUUUCAAUUAUGUAGACUCUAGUCAAUAAUCACCAAUUACCUAGCCAAAGUGUGAGAAAUGGUAUUCACUGGCAGAGGCACAAGSUUUUACAAGUGCAUCUGGAGCUGAUAAAAGUAUAAAAAGAUGGUACAUGGAAAUAUAAUACUGUUGGGAACUUUAGCAAUGUAAAGUUUGCAGUUGCUUCGUAUGUUUGUAUGUGAAGGAUAUGGAUUACUUUACGGACAAGGUUCCAAUCUCAGACUUACCCAUGUGAAUCCAGAAUAAUUUUCCUGAGCAUAGCUGGUUCUACAUUCUGGCUCUCUGUUAAUUUGACUAGAGUUAUAAAAUACUUAUGCAUACGAGACUGUGGCUUUUCAUUACAAUUAUACC